RNAcentral lists this long non-coding RNA (376 nucleotides) under Rattus norvegicus (Norway rat). RNAcentral's name for it is "long non-coding RNA NONRATT025082". Lineage: Eukaryota; Metazoa; Chordata; Mammalia; Rodentia; Muridae. The record is from RNAcentral.
UGAUUUUCUAGAAAUAUUAAAAUUACAUAAAAUAAGCCAUAUUUCUUUCUUUAUAAAGAUGGGAGCAUGCUUUUCAAAAGUAUUUGAUGGCUGCCCUUUGAAAAUUAAUUGUGCAACAUCCUGGAUACACCCUGAUACAAAAGACCAGUACAUUAUUUUUGGGACUGAAGAUGGUAUUUACACAUUGAAUCUCAAUGAGCUACAUGAAGCAACUAUGGAACAGGUAAUAAGAAUUUUAACAUAAAGAAUUAGUUUGAGCAAACUGGACAAAAGUAUCAUAGUUCAAAAUGUUUGUAUGGGCUCUAGUCUUAAUUUUUAUGGCUUAAAUAUUUAAAGGGGUGACAUGGUACUGUCCUCCUGAUUGUGUUGAUUGUGU